GGUCACACCCGGUCUCAUUCCGAACCCGGUCGUUAAGUCUCCUUGCGCUGAUGGUACUGCCCUGUGGUGGGGUGGGAGAGUAGGU
This 85-nucleotide ribosomal RNA is filed under the name Nocardiopsis sp. NRRL B-16309. The record is from RNAcentral. Lineage: Bacteria; Bacillati; Actinomycetota; Actinomycetes; Streptosporangiales; Nocardiopsidaceae.